ACGAACGCUGGCGGCGUGCUUAACACAUGCCAGUCGCACGGAAAGGCCCUGCUUUUGUGGGGUGCUCGCGUGGCGAACGGGUGAGUAACACGUGAGUAACCUGCCCUUGACUUUGGGAUAACUUCAGGAAACUGGGGCUAAUACCGGAUAGGAGCUCCUGCUGCAUGGUGGGGGUUGGAAAGUUUCGGCGGUUGGGGAUGGACUCGCGGCUUAUAAGCUUGUUGGUGGGGUAGUGGCUUACCAAGGCUUUGACGGGUAGCCGGCCUGAGAGGGUGACCGGCCACAUUGGGACUGAGAUACGGCCCAGACUCCUACGGGAGGCAGCAGUGGGGAAUAUUGCACAAUGGGCGGAAGCCUGAUGCAGCAACGCCGCGUGCGGGAUGACGGCCUUCGGGUUGUAAACCGCUUUCGCCUGUGACGAAGCGUGAGUGACGGUAAUGGGUAAAGAAGCACCGGCUAACUACGUG
RNAcentral lists this ribosomal RNA (467 nucleotides) under uncultured bacterium. RNAcentral's name for it is "partial 16S ribosomal RNA". It matches the Rfam family "Bacterial small subunit ribosomal RNA", at positions 29 to 507 of the family's 1533-position model. The record is from RNAcentral.